GCCAUAGGGGAACUGAAUUCCGGAUUAACGGGGAAUGACAAAUUUAGGAGGACAACGGUGAGAAGGCAGUUUCUGGAUGUAACUGCCGCGGGGAGCAAAACCUGGGGAGCGAAAGGGUUAAUACCUGGUAAGUCCAUGCCGUAACGUGGGCCCUGGUGUGGGGCCAUUCCACGGUUUCGGGGCGGAGCUAACGCAUUAAGGCCCCGCCUGGGGAGUACGGCCGCAAGGUUAAAACUCAAAGGAAUUGACGGGGGCCCGCACAAGCGGCGGAGCAGCGGAUUAAUUCGAUGCAACGCGAAGAACCUUCCAAGGCUUGAAUGUUCUGAUCGCCGUAGAGAUACGUUUCCCCUUGGGGCGGGUUACAGGUGGUGCAUGGUUGUCGUCAGCUCGUGUCGUGAGAUGUUGGGUUAAGUCCCGCAACGAGCGCAACCCUCGUUCCAUGUUGCCAGCACGUCGUGGUGGGGACUCAUGGGAGACUGCCGGGGUCAACUCGGAUGAAGGGGAGGACGCCGUCAAACCAUCAUGCCCCCUAUGUCUUGGGCUUCACGCAUGCUACAAUGGCCGGUACAAUGGGUUGCGAUACUGUGAGGUGGUACAAAUCCCAAAAAGCCGGUCUCAGUUCGGAUUUAGUUUGA
This 635-nucleotide ribosomal RNA is filed under the name Micrococcus luteus. RNAcentral describes it as "bacterial SSU rRNA". It matches the Rfam family "Bacterial small subunit ribosomal RNA", at positions 648 to 1308 of the family's 1533-position model. The record is from RNAcentral. Lineage: Bacteria; Bacillati; Actinomycetota; Actinomycetes; Micrococcales; Micrococcaceae.